CAGUUUUCCCAGGAAUCC
This 18-nucleotide non-coding RNA is filed under the name Xenopus laevis (African clawed frog). Its record names the gene xla-miR-145-5p. The record is from miRBase by way of RNAcentral. Lineage: Eukaryota; Metazoa; Chordata; Amphibia; Anura; Pipidae. RNAcentral also lists the same sequence under 1 other name.